RNAcentral lists this ribosomal RNA (442 nucleotides) under uncultured bacterium. Its description in RNAcentral is "partial 16S ribosomal RNA". It matches the Rfam family "Bacterial small subunit ribosomal RNA", at positions 338 to 795 of the family's 1533-position model. The record is from RNAcentral.
CCUACGGGAGGCAGCAGUAGGGAAUCUUUCACAAUGGGCGAAAGCCUGAUGGAGCAACGCCGCGUGCAGGAUGAAGGCCUUCGGGUUGUAAACUGCUUUUAUAAGCGAGAAAUAUGAUGGACACUUAUGAAUAAGGAACGACUAAUUACGCGCCAGAAGCCGCGGUCAUACGUAGGAUCCGAGCAUUAUCCGGAGUGACUGGGUGUAAAGAGUUGCGUAGGUGGCGAAAUAAGUAGCUGGUGAAAUUUGGUGGCGCAACAAUUCAGACUAUUAGCUAAACUGUUAAGCUCGAGACCGUUAGGGGUAACUGGAAGUUCUAGUGUAGGAGUGAAAUCCGUAGAUAUUAGAAGGAACACCAAUAGCGUAGGCAGGUUACUGGGACGGUUCUGACACUAAGGCACGAAAGCGUAGGGAGCGAACGGGAUUAGAUACCCCAGUAGUC